This 458-nucleotide ribosomal RNA is filed under the name uncultured bacterium. RNAcentral describes it as "partial 16S ribosomal RNA". It matches the Rfam family "Bacterial small subunit ribosomal RNA", at positions 338 to 795 of the family's 1533-position model. The record is from RNAcentral.
CCUACGGGGGGCAGCAGUGAGGAAUAUUGGUCAAUGGGCGAGAGCCUGAACCAGCCAAGUCGCGUGAGGGAGUACUGCCCUAUGGGUUGUAAACCUCUUUUGUCGGGGAGCAAAAGCCGGACGUGUCCGGCUGUGAGAGUACCCGAAGAAAAAGCAUCGGCUAACUCCGUGCCAGCAGCCGCGGUAAUACGGAGGAUGCGAGCGUUAUCCGGAUUUAUUGGGUUUAAAGGGUGCGCAGGCGGAUGUUUAAGUCAGCGGUAAAAUCGUGGGGCUCAACCCCAUCCAGCCGUUGAAACUGGGGAUCUAGAGUGUGCGAGAGGGAUGCGGAAUGCGUGGUGUAGCGGUGAAAUGCAUAGAUAUCACGCAGAACCCCGAUUGCGAAGGCAGCAUACCGGUGCACAACUGACGCUCAGGCACGAAAGCGUGGGUAUCGAACAGGAUUAGAUACCCGUGUAGUC